AACUGGGGAUAAUACUGGAUAUUAGGCUAUGCCUGGAAUGGUUUGCCUUUGAAAUGUUUUUUUUCGCCUAAGGAUAGGUCUGCGGCUGAUUAGGUCGUUGGUGGGGUAAUGGCCCACCAAGCCGAUGAUCGGUACGGGUUGUGAGAGCAAGGGCCCGGAGAUGGAACCUGAGACAAGGUUCCAGACCCUACGGGGUGCAGCAGGCGCGAAACCUCCGCAAUGUACGAAAGUGCGACGGGGGGAUCCCAAGUGUUAGGCUUUUUUGUAUGACUUUUCAUUAGUGUAAAAAGCUUUUAGAAUAAGAGCUGGGCAAGACCGGUGCCAGCCGCCGCGGUAACACCGGCAGCUCGAGUGGUAGCUGUUUUUAUUGGGCCUAAAGCGUUCGUAGCCGGUUUGAUAAGUCUUUGGUGAAAGCUUGUAGCUUAACUAUAAGAAUUGCUGGAGAUACUAUUAGACUUGAAGUCGGGAGAGGUUAGAGGUACUACCGGGGUAGGGGUGAAAUCCUAUAAUCCUGGGAGGACCACCUGUGGCGAAGGCGUCUAACUGGAACGAUCUUGACGGUGAGUAACGAAAGCCAGGGGCGCGAACCGGAUUAGAUACCCGGGUAGUCCUGGCCGUAAACGAUGUGGACUUGGUGUUGGAAUGGCUUUGAGUUGUUCCGGUGCCGAAGGGAAGCUGUUAAGUCCACCGCCUGGGAAGUACGGUCGCAAGACUGAAACUUAA
Molecule: ribosomal RNA, 723 nt
Filed under: uncultured archaeon
Lineage: Archaea
Description: bacterial SSU rRNA
Rfam family: Archaeal small subunit ribosomal RNA
Source: RNAcentral